This 481-nucleotide ribosomal RNA is filed under the name uncultured bacterium. RNAcentral describes it as "partial 16S ribosomal RNA". It matches the Rfam family "Bacterial small subunit ribosomal RNA", at positions 28 to 507 of the family's 1533-position model. The record is from RNAcentral.
GACGAACGCUGGCGGCGUGCUUAACACAUGCAAGUCGAACGCUGAAGCUCAGCUUGCUGGGUGGAUGAGUGGCGAACGGGUGAGUAACACGUGAGUAACCUGCCCCCUUCUUUGGGAUAACGCCCGGAAACGGGUGCUAAUACUGGAUAUUCACUGAUCUUCGCAUGGGGGUUGGUGGAAAGGUUUUUUCUGGUGGGGGAUGGGCUCGCGGCCUAUCAGCUUGUUGGUGGGGUGAUGGCCUACCAAGGCUUUGACGGGUAGCCGGCCUGAGAGGGUGACCGGUCACAUUGGGACUGAGAUACGGCCCAGACUCCUACGGGAGGCAGCAGUGGGGAAUAUUGCACAAUGGGCGAAAGCCUGAUGCAGCGACGCCGCGGGAGGGAUGGAGGCCUUCGGGUUGUAAACCUCUUUCGCUCAUGGUCAAGCCGCAACAGUGGUUGUGGUGAGGGUAGUGGGUAAAGAAGCGCCGGCUAACUACGUG